This is a non-coding RNA of Arachis ipaensis, 1972 nucleotides long. The record is from RefSeq and is a predicted model, not a curated record. NCBI's taxonomy places the organism in Eukaryota, Viridiplantae, Streptophyta, Magnoliopsida, Fabales, Fabaceae.
GUCAUCUAAACUACAUCACUAACUCCUCACUCUCCUUCUUCUAACCUUCGGCCAUCUGAUCAUCAUCUCAUUUCAUCACAUGCUUAAUUUCUGUCCAAGUUAUUAAGAAAGAAAAGUGAGAUAAGAUUGAAGAAAGAAAAAGGAAAGAGAAAACUAAAACUCCACCCUUAUCUCUCCUUGUUCCCAACGUUUCCAAUCCUUUUUCCUUUCACCAAAUAUUCUAACCUUUCACCACUUAUUACUCUAAGUUAUCUAGUAAGAAGAAAAGAAACCAAAGAGAAAGAAAAAAAAAAAGGAGAGAAUGACCGAAAUUGAGAGGAUGAAAAAGAGAGCAUGAACACUCAAACCUUCAUUCAAAUUCUUCUUCCAUUUUCAAGAACAUAACCUCUCUUCUUAAGAAUCCAAGUUAGCCCAAUAAUAACUCUCAUUAUCUUCUUUGUUUUCCAUCUCAAGAUCAUCAAGACAAUUAAGCCUAGGAGUCUCUAAAGAUCAAGGAUACAUCACUUCUAAUAGUAAGAACAAAUCUUCCUCCUCUCUUCUUGUAAAUUCGCCCAUGGUCCUUCUAUGAUCCAAAAAGUUGUUUUGAUGGUAUCUUGUUCAUAAACCAUGUUCUAGUAUUCUUAAGAAGUUCAUACAUCAAGAAUCCAAAUUCAUAAGGGAGGUUGUUGUGAUCAUAAGGAUUAAAGGAGUAAACUUAGAAGCACUAACAAGGAAGGUAAGGGUUAGGAUAGUUAGAAAGCUUUUUCUUUGGAUAAAAUGCUUCUAUUGAUGUUUUAAUGAUGUUUUGAUGAUGGUUAAUGAUGAUUUUGAGUGUGCUUGAUGACGCUUGUAUGAUGAAUGAAACAUUAAAGUAUGUUGAUGAUGGUUUAUAUGAAUUUUUUAUGGAUAUAUUUGAUGAUGUAUGAUGGCCGAAUUAUGUAUGCAAUCUUGGGGCUAAAAAAUAUGCAUGGUUUUGUAAAAGAUGAAAAUCAAGAGAAGAAAUCAUAAAAGGAUGCUCAUAAUAUUUAAGAAAGUAAAAGAAUGAAAGAUUAAAAGAAAGGGUCUUAGAGACUUGAAAAUGUUAUAGAAGCAUAUAUGUUGAAUAUGGAAUGGAAUAUGUUACACCUCUAUAUUUUUGUGGUUAAGUCAUACUUUUACAUAGGUUGAAAAUCAAGAUAAGAACUUAUAAAGAAGUUCUUAAUAAAAUUAAUUAAGUAAAAGAUUGAAAGAUUGAAAGAAAAGUAGUUAAAAGAGUCUAGGAGAAUCAUAAAAACAAAGUUGAUGUCCAUGUAAAAUAUAUCAUGCACCACACUUGGUUUUAAAAUGUAACUUGGAGUAAAAAGUGGGCUAAAAGUAUAAAUAACAAACGACAAUGUUUAAAAAUAUGACCAUAGGAGUCCUAGAAAUAAAAAUUUAAUUAUAAAAAAAUGUUAGUAGAGUUUAGGAAUAAAAGUGUAAAUAUAACAAGAUAAAAGAUAAGGGUCAAAGAUUAGGGAUAAAAUGGUAAUUUAGGCUAAGAGGAUAAAAGAGUCCUUAGCAAAAAAAUUUAAGAUAAAAUAGUAAGUUGGGAGUCAUAAGGGACAAAUUUGUUAUUUUUGAUAAAAAAAAAUAAAGUUAGGAUAAAUGAAUAUGGAAAAUAAGGGUAUAAUGUUCAUUUAGAUAAAAAUUAAGAAUAAACUAGUAAAAUAAGGGAUAAAAAGGUCAUUGCAUAAAAAGUUAAAGUUAGAUUAGAUAAUUAUGAAAUAUAAAUGAAAAAUAGUCAUUUUGAAUAAAAGAGAAUAUUAAAAUAGAUAAUUUAAUAUAAAGAUAAAAUAGUCAUUUUGAUAAAAUAGGAGGUUAAAAUAUUCAAAGUGAGAAGUUAGGUGCAAAAUCAUCAUUUAAGAAAAAGUAUAAUGCUUAAAUGGUAAAAUUGAAGAGGAAAGGGUAAAACAAUCAUAUUAUAAAAUGUUAAGGAUAAGAUGGUAAUUUAGAGAAAAAGAAAUAUAAAAUAUUU